CUGUACAUCAUCUCAGUUUAUUCAGUAAUGUGUUGCACUCUGAACAACAAUGCAUAGCAAGAACGUUAUUUAUUUCACAUCAUGUAGAUUUAAUAUUACAUAUCUUCCUGCAAUGCUCUAACCAUGGCACCGUGUAGAAUAUCCUGUAGAAUAUCAUUGUGAAAUAGCAACCAUAACGCGAUAACGGACAAGAUAACAAGGCUUGAAAUAAAACACACUAAUCCAUUAAAAAUAUAUAGUAUAACCAGUAAAGACAAAGAAGAUGAAUGAUAAUUGAUGCUCUUCUUUAAUAUCUGGAUAUGUCAAUGCUAAUAAUUGAUCAAGUGUGGAUCACAAAACAGCUCACACAGUGGUUCUGUACAUGAGAAAUUUGUGAAGUGUGCUCCUGCCCUCCGGUGGCAAAAGAAAGCAACACACUUGUUGAUAAUGGCGUAUCAUUUACUUAUAGAAAUGAUACAUGUCUGGAAGAAAAUAUAUAGAAUAAUUCUUGAUUUGUACAGAAUGAAACGUAACAUUUUAAGUCAUCUUAUUUCAGAGUUCUCUGUCCUUGACAAACAAAAAGAGAUACUGAGGAGAGAUUACGUAUUAUUUAAUCUCGGUUUUGGCACAUUUCAACACUAAUGAGUCAACAGGAAACUCCAAGUACAAACAUGUAGAUCCCAUAAAUACUGUACUACCAAGGUCAAAUAAAUACAUCUUCGCAUACAAGUCAAAUAUCUUAAUAACAGAUACAAAAACAAACAUUCAGUGAAAAUAAAAUGACCUGUACACUAAUCAAACUCUUGGAUGAAGUCUUGGAUAAAUGUUGUUUUUAUAAUGUGCUGACUCCCAGUGAAAAACAGGGGCCUGGGCUUCUUUGGAAUUUGUCGGUCCAUAAGUGGGGUCCAUUUGGAGGUCAUGUGACUAUGUGGUUGCCGGCUCUACCUCACUGCAGUUGCCUCACCCUAAACAGGAACUUCCAUUUCACAGAUUUACUAUGAAGCCAUUAUGGCCCCUGUAGGACAAGAGACACAAAUAUCACCAGUUUAGAUUAGGUCCUUCCUCCACCAGGUCACACAGAGUGUGAGCAUGUCAAUAGAGGUAUUCUACAGGGCCAUAUACCACAUUUUGCACAUACACAUGAAGAUAACAGACAAACACCAAGGUGUCUCAGAAGAAUACCAGUCUGCCAGGAUUGUUUAGAAAGGCAUUUGUCGCCAUUUAAUGUAACAAACAACAUCUUUCCAGAUAGAAAAAAAUCCCACUGUAGAAUAUACACACUUACAUCAAGAUAUGCCCUUCCCUUCUUUCCUGUGUAAAGCAGUGGAGGCUGGUGGGAUGAGCUGUAUGAGGACAGGCUGAAUGUCUGCAAUGGAAUGGUAUCCAACACAUGGAAACCCUGUUUGACUCCGUUCCAUUUAUUCCAAUCCAGCCAUUCCAAUGAGCCCGUCCUCCUAUGGCUCCUCCCACCAGCCUCCGCUGGUGUAAAGAGUUCACCUGUGGAACAUGUGAGGUUCACAGAGAGAUCAUGAAAGUUAAGAAUGGCAACUUUAUGUAUGGAAGCAAGCACAUCGUAGUAUGAUAGGGGUAACCAAUGGUUCAAUUUUGGGUCCAAUCCAGUUGCUACAAUGGCAAAAUUUGCAUGUCAUCACCGUGUUAGUGCAGGUCAAAAAUCACCACUCACCACAUUGGUUAGCGGUAAGGCAGUGGAGGGUGAGGAGCCUGAGAGGGAGGAAAACAAGUCUGGUGCUGGCCUUCGGGGACAGGAGGACUGGGACUUACGGACGGCUAGAGCCACAGCCUGGGCAAAGCAGGAGGGGAUGGCAGUUCUCCUGGCCAGGGCUGCAGGCACGUAUGGUUUGGGUGAAGUCAAAUUAAUCAUGUUCGGUUUGGGUGAUGAAGGGGCAUUAGUCUGAUUGUCUCCCGCAGCUGGUUCACAGAAGGUACGACUCAGCGUAGGAAGAGAAGGGGGAGGAUAAGAGGGAGGGCGGUGAUUUCUUCCCCCAGGAGGCCUCACUCGUAACUGGGUCGGCUCCGUCUCCUCCUUACCAUAGCACACACGGGGAGGGGAAGGGGGAGGAGGGGAAAAGAAACGGUCCUCUGCUGACUCCUCUAUCACCAGACUGGGCUUCCGGAACAAUCCCCUGCUCUCUAGUAGUUCAGGAGUUGAGGUCACCUCAUCUCCACGUAUUCCAUCUCCAGGUAUUCCAUUUCAUCUCCAGGUCAGCCGUGUAUGGGUUGGGAAUCUCUGAGAGUGUAUCCGACUCCUCCGGGACUUGUACCUCUAGACUUUUCUGUAGUUCUGAAUCUAGACUGUCUGUGGGUGAUUCGGACUCCUCCUGGGCCUCCAUCUCUGAACUCUCCUGCUUGACUACCACUGGUGAUUUUGGUGCGGUCUGGUAAAGCUCACUAGGACUAGACACGGUUGGAGCACUGAAGACCCAGUCAGUGGAACCUUCUGGAGACCCUGAAGGAGAAAGUUUAGAAUCCAUAUCAGGGUCUGGGGUGGAUCCCUCAACCUCUGACCUCAACCUCUGACCUAUAGAGCCCCACGAUGGUGGUGUAAUAAUACCCAUAAAACCUAGCGGACAAACAAGGAAAUGGUUCCAAUCGUUUUCCACCAUUCAUUUUUCUAAUAGGGGAUUUUAGAAACACUUAAAAUAAGGGCUGUGUUUCGUAAAGGCUUAACAAAGCAGACAAGCAAAGAAAACCAUGAAAGAGUAUCGAGACACAGCCCUAAAUCCUACUCCCUAACCACCAAUCACUCACCGGCUGGACGUUGAGGUUGGCAGGGACGCUUUGGGAGCCUGCCAUGUGGAGCGUGGGUGCCCGUUUUCUUCUUGGCCAUGGUGUCGUCCAUGGGCAGGGUGUUGGAGGAGUGGACACCCAGGGAGUUCAUGCUGAUGCUGGCCACCCGCUGGUUUUUCAGACCACGUGAGGCCGGGGCACUCACUGAGAGACCCUUUAGAAGAAGACCACAGCAAAAAACACACAUCACAAAGCUUUAUCAGUGUACACUGAAAUCCCACCACACACUGAAAUCUAGUACGGCUGAGAGAAAAAAGCUGCAUUCACAGAUCUAGUCAAAGUCUAAAAUCUAUUUCUUACACAAUGCUUACGUACAAUGGGGGGGGUGCUCUACAGGUGCUUCUAGGAGAAAGAAAUAGCAACGACAGAUAAUUGAAAGCUGGUAUUCAAAUGAAAUGUGUUACUAUGGGGCAUCUUCAGCCAUUUUUGUUAAGUUUUGUUCCUUAGGGGGGAAAGUGUGAUAACCACUUCAGGACUGACAG
This 3269-nucleotide long non-coding RNA is filed under the name Salmo salar (Atlantic salmon). Its description in RNAcentral is "lncRNA (ENSSSAG00000094257.1)". Lineage: Eukaryota; Metazoa; Chordata; Actinopteri; Salmoniformes; Salmonidae. The record is from RNAcentral.